AUGGCCAGGCUGUCUCCACCCGAGACUCAGUGAAAUUGAACUCGCUGUGAAGAUGCAGUGUACCCGCGGCAAGACGGAAAGACCCCGUGAACCUUUACUAUAGCUUGACACUGAACAUUGAGCCUUGAUGUGUAGGAUAGGUGGGAGGCUUUGAAGUGUGGACGCCAGUCUGCAUGGAGCCGACCUUGAAAUACCACCCUUUAAUGUUUGAUGUUCUAACGUGGACCCGUGAUCCGGGUUGCGGACAGUGUCUGGUGGGUAGUUUGACUGGGGCGGUCUCCUCCUAAAGAGUAACGGAGGAGCACGAAGGUUGGCUAAUCCUGGUCGGACAUCAGGAGGUUAGUGCAAUGGCAUAAGCCAGCUUGACUGCGAGCGUGACGGCGCGAGCAGGUGCGAAAGCAGGUCAUAGUGAUCCGGUGGUUCUGAAUGGAAGGGCCAUCGCUCAACGGAUAAAAGGUACUCCGGGGAUAACAGGCUGAUACCGCCCAAGAGUUCAUAUCGACGGCGGUGUUUGGCACCUCGAUGUCGGCUCAUCACAUCCUGGGGCUGAAGUAGGUCCCAAGGGUAUGGCUGUUCGCCAUUUAAAGUGGUACGCGAGCUGGGUUUAGAACGUCGUGAGACAGUUCGGUCCCUAUCUGCCGUGGGCGCUGGAGAACUGAGGGGGGCUGCUCCUAGUACGAGAGGACCGGAGUGGACGCAUCACUGGUGUUCGGGUUGUCAUGCCAAUGGCACU
RNAcentral lists this ribosomal RNA (733 nucleotides) under Salmonella enterica subsp. enterica serovar Anatum. Its description in RNAcentral is "partial 23S ribosomal RNA". It matches the Rfam family "Bacterial large subunit ribosomal RNA", at positions 2007 to 2739 of the family's 2925-position model. The record is from RNAcentral. Lineage: Bacteria; Pseudomonadati; Pseudomonadota; Gammaproteobacteria; Enterobacterales; Enterobacteriaceae.